UACGUAGGGGGCAAGCGUUAUCCGGAUUUACUGGGUGUAAAGGGAGCGUAGACGGCAGUGCAAGUCUGAAGUGAAAGGCAAGGGCUCAACCCUUGGACUGCUUUGGAAACUGUGCUGCUGGAGUGUCGGAGAGGCAAGUGGAAUUCCUAGUGUAGCGGUGAAAUGCGUAGAUAUUAGGAGGAACACCAGUGGCGAAAGCGGCUCUCUGGCCUGUAACUGACACUGAGGCUCGAAAGCGUGGGGAGCAAACAGG
RNAcentral lists this ribosomal RNA (253 nucleotides) under uncultured bacterium. RNAcentral describes it as "partial 16S ribosomal RNA". It matches the Rfam family "Bacterial small subunit ribosomal RNA", at positions 524 to 776 of the family's 1533-position model. The record is from RNAcentral.